This 253-nucleotide ribosomal RNA is filed under the name uncultured bacterium. RNAcentral's name for it is "partial 16S ribosomal RNA". It matches the Rfam family "Bacterial small subunit ribosomal RNA", at positions 524 to 776 of the family's 1533-position model. The record is from RNAcentral.
UACGAAGGGUGCAAGCGUUACUCGGAAUUACUGGGCGUAAAGCGUGCGUAGGUGGUUUGUUAAGUCUGAUGUGAAAGCCCUGGGCUCAACCUGGGAACGGCAUUGGAAACUGGCUUACUAGAGUGCGGCAGAGGAGACUGGAAUUCCUGGUGUAGCAGUGAAAUUCGUAGAUAUUAGGAAGAACACCAGUGGCGAAGGCGGCUAUCUGGCUCGGUACUGACGCUCAGGUUCGAAAGCGUGGGGAGCAAACAGG